RNAcentral lists this ribosomal RNA (408 nucleotides) under uncultured bacterium. RNAcentral's name for it is "partial 16S ribosomal RNA". It matches the Rfam family "Bacterial small subunit ribosomal RNA", at positions 28 to 526 of the family's 1533-position model. The record is from RNAcentral.
GACGAACGCUGGCGGCGUGCUUAACACAUGCAAGUCGAACGGAGAGGCGAACGGGUGAGUAAAACGCGGGUGAUCUGCCUUGCACUUCGGGAUAAGCUUGGGGAACUGGGUCUAAUACCGGAUAGUGCAAGGUGAGCUCGCGGCCAAUCAGCUGGUUGGUGGGGUAAUGGCCUACCAAGGCGUCGACGGGUAGCCGGCCUGGGAGGGGGUACGGCCACAAUGGGACUGGGGGACGGCCCAGAGUGCAACGGGAGGCAGCGGGGGGGAAUAUGGCGCAAUGGGCGGGAGCCUGGUGGAGCGACGCCGGGUGGGGAAUGUAGGCCUUCGGGUUGGAAACGCCUUUCGACAGGGACGCGGUACCUGUAUAAGAAGCACCGGCUAACUACGUGCCAGCAGCCGCGGUAAUAC